AGAUUGAACGCUGGCGGCAGGCCUAACACAUGCAAGUCGAGCGGUAGAGAGGUGCUUGCACCUCUUGAGAGCGGCGGACGGGCGAGUAAUGCCUAGGAAUCUGCCUAGUGGUGGGGGAUAACGUUCGGAAACGGACGCUAAUACCGCAUACGUCCUACGGGAGAAAGCGGGGGACCUUCGGGCCUCGCGCCAUUAGAUGAGCCUAGGUCGGAUUAGCUAGUUGGUGAGGUAAUGGCUCACCGAAGGCGACGAUCCGUAACUGGUCUGAGAGGAUGAUCAGUCACACUGAACUGA
Molecule: ribosomal RNA, 294 nt
Filed under: uncultured soil bacterium
Lineage: Bacteria
Description: partial 16S ribosomal RNA
Rfam family: Bacterial small subunit ribosomal RNA
Source: RNAcentral